This 1282-nucleotide ribosomal RNA is filed under the name Flavobacterium sp. R-38339. Its description in RNAcentral is "partial 16S ribosomal RNA". The record is from RNAcentral. Lineage: Bacteria; Pseudomonadati; Bacteroidota; Flavobacteriia; Flavobacteriales; Flavobacteriaceae.
GGUAGGUAUUCAUAAAAAAGAAGGUGUUUCGGCAUUGGAGGUUGUAAUGACCAAAAUUGGUGCCGGUGGAAAAUUUGAUAAAGAUUCCUAUAAAGUUUCUGGAGGACUUCACGGUGUUGGGGUUUCUGUGGUAAACGCUUUAUCGAAUCAUUUGAGAGCUACCGUUCACAGUAGUGAUGGUAAAAUAUACGAACAAGAAUACGAAAAAGGAAAAGCAUUAUAUCCAGUUAAACAAAUUGGUGAAACGACAAAAAGAGGGACAAUCGUUACUUUUUAUCCGGAUCCAAGCAUAUUUACACAAACGAUAGAGUAUUCUUAUGAUACUUUAUCUGCUCGUAUGCGCGAACUGUCUUAUCUGAACAAAGGAAUUACUAUUACUUUUACAGAUAAAAGAGAAAAAGAUAAAGAUGGAAAUUUUGUAUCAGAAGUAUUUCAUUCUGAUGAAGGUUUAAAAGAAUACAUCCGUUACUUAGAUGGAAACCGUGAGCCAAUUAUUGCACACGUUAUUUCUAUGGAUCAUGAAAAAGGAGAAAUUCCGGUUGAGGUUGCGUUAAUUUACAACACAAGUUACACGGAAAAUAUUUUUUCUUACGUAAAUAAUAUUAAUACACACGAAGGAGGAACGCACUUGCAAGGUUUUAGAACUGGUCUAACUAGAUCGUUAAAGAAAUAUGCGGAUGCUUCUGGAAUGUUGGAUAAGCUGAAAUUUGAUAUUUCAGGAGACGAUUUCCGUGAAGGAUUGACUGCUAUUAUUUCGGUAAAAGUUCAAGAACCACAGUUUGAAGGACAAACGAAAACGAAACUUGGUAACAGAGAAGUUGUUUCUCCGGUAAGUCAAGCGGUGAGUGAAAUGAUUGAAAAUUAUUUGGAAGAAAAUCCAAAUGAUGCCCGUAUCAUCGUUCAAAAAGUAAUUCUUGCAGCGCAAGCGCGUCACGCAGCUAAAAAAGCACGUGAAAUGGUACAACGCAAAACCGUAAUGGGUGGCGGUGGAUUACCAGGGAAACUGUCAGACUGUUCGGAACAAGAUCCUGCAAAAUGUGAAGUAUAUCUUGUCGAGGGAGAUUCGGCAGGUGGAACGGCAAAGCAAGGUCGUGACCGUAAUUUUCAAGCUAUUUUACCUCUGCGUGGUAAGAUUUUGAACGUUGAAAAAGCAAUGCAUCACAAAGUUUUUGAAAAUGAAGAGAUUCGAAAUAUAUUUACGGCACUUGGUGUAACCAUUGGUACAGAAGAGGAUAGUAAGGCAUUAAAUAUUUCAAAAUUACGAUACCAUAAAGUAAUUAUU